This 1632-nucleotide ribosomal RNA is filed under the name Acochlidium sp. ZSM DNA AB35081777. RNAcentral's name for it is "SSU rRNA". It matches the Rfam family "Eukaryotic small subunit ribosomal RNA". The record is from RNAcentral. Lineage: Eukaryota; Metazoa; Mollusca; Gastropoda; Acochlidiacea; Acochlidiidae.
CUUGUCUCAAAGAUUAAGCCAUGCAUGUCUAAGUUCACACUGUCUCACGGUGAAACCGCGAAUGGCUCAUUAAAUCAGUCGAGGUUCCUUAGAUGACACGAUCCUACUUGGAUAACUGUGGCAAUUCUAGAGCUAAUACAUGCUUCCCAAGCUCCGACCCUCGUGGAAAGAGCGCUUUUAUUAGUUCAAAACCAAUCGUCGUUGUCCUUCGGGGCGCGGCGUCCCUACUGGUGACUCUGGAUAACUUUGUGCUGAUCGCAUGGCCUUUUGCGCCGGCGACGCAUCUUUCAAAUGUCUGCCCUAUCAAAUGUCGAUGGUACGUGACAUGCCUACCAUGUUUGUAACGGGUAACGGGGAAUCAGGGUUCGAUUCCGGAGAGGGAGCAUGAGAAACGGGUACCACAUCCAAGGAAGGCAGCAGGCGCGCAACUUACCCACUCCCGGCACGGGGAGGUAGUGACGAAAAAUAACAAUACGGGACUCUUUCGAGGCCCCGUAAUUGGAAUGAGUACACUUUAAACCCUUUAACGAGGAUCUAUUGGAGGGCAAGUCUGGUGCCAGCAGCCGCGGUAAUUCCAGCUCCAAUAGCGUAUAUUAAAGUUGUUGCAGUUAAAAAGCUCGUAGUUGGAUCUCAGGCGCAGGCGGGCGGUCCGGCUCGCGCCGGCUCACUGCCCGUUGUUCCUGCCCUACCCGUCUGUCGGCUCUCUCCCGCGGGUGCUCUUCACUGAGCGUCCCGGGUGGCCGGCGCGUUUACUUUGAAAAAAUUAAAGAAAUUCUUGGAUCGCCGCAAGACGAGCUACUGCGAAAGCAUUUGUCAAGAAUGUUUUCAUUAGUCAAGAACGAAAGUCAGAGGCGCGAAGACGAUCAGAUACCGUCGUAGUUCUGACCAUAAACGAUGCCAACCCGCGAUCCGCAGGAGUUGCUUCGAUGACUCUGCGGGCAGCGUCCGGGAAACCAAAGUUUUUGGGUUCCGGGGGAAGUAUGGUUGCAAAGCUGAAACUUAAAGGAAUUGACGGAAGGGCACCACCAGGAGUGGAGCCUGCGGCUUAAUUUGACUCAACACGGGAAAACUCACCCGGUCCGGACACUGUAAGGAUUGACAGAUUGAUAGCUCUUUCUUGAUUCGGUGGGUGGUGGUGCAUGGCCGUUCUUAGUUGGUGGAGCGAUUUGUCUGGUUAAUUCCGAUAACGAACGAGACUCUAGCCUAUUAAAUAGUUCGCCGGUCCCACGAUGCGCCGGCGCAACUUCUUAGAGGGACGAGUGGCGUUUAGCCACACGAGAUUGAGCAAUAACAGGUCUGUGAUGCCCUUAGAUGUCCGGGGCCGCACGCGCGCUACACUGAAGGAAUCAGCGUGGAUGCCUCCCUGGUCCGAAAGGACUGGGAAACCCGUUGAAUCUCCUUCGUGCUAGGGAUUGGGGCUUGUAAUUAUUCCCCAUGAACGAGGAAUUCCCAGUAAGCGCGAGUCAUAAGCUCGCGUUGAUUACGUCCCUGCCCUUUGUACACACCGCCCGUCGCUACUAUCGAUUGAGCGGUUCAGUGAGGGCCUCGGAUUGGUCACGGCCUGGUGUGCAAAUGCCGGCGCCGUCGGCCGAGAAGACGCUCGAACUCGAUCGCUUGGAGAAAGUAAAAGUC